GUUAAAUUUCAUCUAAAGCUAAAUAUUGGCCAGAGACCGAUAGCGCACAAGUAGAGUGAUCGAAAGAUGAAAAGCACUUUGGAAAGAGAGUUAAACAGUACGUGAAAUUGUUGAAAGGGAAGCGCUUGCAACCAGACUUGCAUGUAGCUGAUCAACCGGUGUUCUCACCGGUGCACUCAGUUGCGUUCAGGCCAGCAUCGGUUUCGACGGUUGGAUAAAGGCCUUGGGAAUGUAGCUCCUUUCGGGGAGUGUUAUAGCCCAGGGUGCAAUGCAGCCUGUCGGGACCGAGGACCGCGCUUCGGCUAGGAUGCUGGCGUAAUGGUUGUAAGCGACCCGUCUUGAAACACGGACCAAGGAGUCUAACAUCUAUGCGAGUGUUUGGGUGUCAAACCCAUACGCGUAAUGAAAGUGAACGGAGGUGAGAACCCUUAAGGGUGCAUCAUCGACCGAUCCUGAUGUCUUCGGAUGGAUUUGAGUAAGAGCAUAGCUGUUGGGACCCGAAAGAUGGUGAACUAUGCCUGAAUAGGGUGAAGCCAGAGGAAACUCUGGUGGAGGCUCGCAGCGGUUCUGACGUGCAAAUCGAUCGUCAAAUUUGGGUAUAGGGCGAAAGACUA
Molecule: ribosomal RNA, 614 nt
Filed under: Phacidium lacerum
Lineage: Eukaryota; Fungi; Ascomycota; Leotiomycetes; Phacidiales; Phacidiaceae
Description: eukaryotic LSU rRNA
Rfam family: Eukaryotic large subunit ribosomal RNA
Source: RNAcentral